CUGUGCUUGUCCUAAUAUCGACACAAUGAGGUAUGUACCGAAUUAUAACUCGGUCACAUUACUCUAAUCAGACGUCUCUUUUCCUCAACACCAGGAAUAGUUUGUUUUGAUGACCUUCUGAGUGGCCUCAGUCUGCACCUUGAGUUGGGCGAGGAGAACAUCCACUCCAUCCUACGCUACCUUCAUCGUAUCGGCAUCAUCGUGUGGUACGAGGAGAUCCCUGCUCUGAAGGAUAGGGUGUUCGUUCAGCCAUCUUUUCUCAUCUCACUCUUCAAGACCAUCGUGAGACACGACCUGGUCAAGCAGAUGGAGGCCAUCCCCAGAGACGAGCUGCGGCAAGAGGGCAACCUGUUGGUCCACCGGAGCAUGUGGGUGGAUGACUUCAAGGAGAAGGGUACCCUGCACAACGCGGCCACACGGAUCCUGGUACGCAGAGAACUGAGGCGGCUGCGGCUGGACGAGGAAGAUCUGGUGGAGGAGGUGGUGGGGAGUAAGACUAAGGAGGGGACGCUACUUAGCCUCCUGCAGCACUUUGAGGUCUGUCUCCCAGCUAAGGUGGGUAGUCCCCUGAACCCGGCGGCCCCGGAGUUCAAACCCGGGGAGAAGCAGUGGAAGUCAUCCAACUUGGCCAGGGGUGAUCUGGACGGAGCAUGUCUCUUCCCCAGCUACCUGCAGGACAAUCAAAUGGUGGUGAAGAUGUGGGGAGAAGACAAGCUGGACGAUAUAAAUGUCUGUGUUUACUUUCUACCUGAGAUCCCUCAUGGCUUUUUCCACAGGCUGGUCAUCAAGACGUGCUCCCUGUACCCGACUCACUGGAUAGGGAAGGACCACUGCCUGCUCAGCUCUGGAGACAAACUGGUGCUGAUGAGAGAGAACAAUAAAGAUGGAGACAAUGAAGAUGGAGAUCAACACAUACAGAUUCGCUGCAAGAGACCUGAGACCAGCGAGUUCCGUCGUUCUUGGGAUCUCUUCCUAUCGGUGAUGACAAAGCUAGUGUUGCUGUCUAGACAGUGGCCUGGCCUAUCCCAACAUGUCCACACCCCCUGUAAGGAGAAAGGUUGCACAGCCUACUUCGUCUGGAGAGACUGGCAGGACCUCUCAAACUCAGACAUAUAUGACCUGUAAGCCAAAUGUAUCUAACGUAAUUGUUAUUUGUCUAUUUGUCUAUGCACAACUGUAUUGUUAUUAUAUUAUUGCACUUAUUUCAAAUGAUAAUUAUGUUGUUUCUCUAUCAAUACACUAUUAAAAUACUAUUACAACUGAAGUGUGUGUGUGUGUGUGUGUGUGUGUGUGUGUGUGUGUGUGUGUGUUGAACAGUGUGCAGGAGGAAAAACAACUCUGCCGAAAUGGACACACGCGACGGACCGAAAUGCUUUUCCCAAAAGGUACCGUAUGUUUUUAAUCUUAAAGUAAGAGGGAUUACCUACCGAAUACAAUUAAUACUUCCCAUUCAAAUUCUGUGUUUUUUAGAUCCUGUUGUCAACAAAUCAAAAGGACAAUGACCAGAACCUAGAAAGCAGAACUUCAUUAGAGGGAGAUGGUUUCUCUUUCAGUGAUGUCUCCAAGUUGACUAUCUUACAAUCAAAACAUUUUCCUUAUAUGCAACAUCAAAAUAUUCACUCCUUACAGUUUGGGUUUAGGCUUGAGGUCUCAUUUAUAUUCAUAUUCAUGUUUCUCUCUCAAUAUUAUGAAAGUAUAUAUUUUUAUAUCCUACCACAGGGCAGCGCUCUUGAUCCAUUCUGAUAAAAAGAAUACUGAUGUACAGCUACACAAAACUUCAUUGCAGUCCAGAUAUCCACUUUUUGAUGCCUUAUCCUGAUACCAAAUAAAUAAUUUUAAGCCUCUGACAUGACAUAAUCCAUUUUUAUUUGUAAUAUAUUUUAUUUAUUUAUUCAAUACUUAAUUCCAGAUGUAGAAUGUAAUGGGUUACUUGAUAUCCAAUUCAUAAAUUCAGAGUGCUGAACGUUUUCUAUGAGGAUUGUACAAUUCAACAGUUUGUCUUCCAUUAAUUUCAGAACUGAAUUGAAAUGGAGUUAACCCAAGCCCUGAUGUUUUUACACUGAAGGAAUUCUCUGUAUGUUCUAUCCUGGGGGAGUGGUGCGCCUAACUGAAUUACUGUGACUUCAGAAGGUAUUCACGCCCCUUGACCUUUUCCACAUUUUGUGGUAUUACAACCUGAAUUUAAAAUGGAUUACAUUAAGAUUUUGUGUCACUGGUUUACACACAAUAUCCCAUAAUGUCAAAGUGGAAUUAUGUUUUUGAAAUGUUUACAAAUGUAUUAAAAAUUAAAAGCCAAAAUGUCUUAAGUCAAUAAGUAUUCAACC
Long non-coding RNA from Salmo trutta (river trout), 2324 nucleotides. The record is from Ensembl. NCBI's taxonomy places the organism in Eukaryota, Metazoa, Chordata, Actinopteri, Salmoniformes, Salmonidae.